UAGCGCAGGUUAGCAAAUACCAUUCUUUACGAUGGUUAUAAAUAUUGUCACAAAUAAAUUUGGGAAACAAAAUCCAGAGAAAGCUUGCUCUCAUGAAGAGUGAUAAUUAGACGUGAGAUUAUUCUGGAGUUUCAGCGACGAUUGUUCCAGAUGACAGGAAGCAAGAGUCAAAAUAGUGACGAGUAGACAUGUAUAUGGAGUUGGAGUAUUUGUGACGGUUUCAUGACCGUCCGGGCAACGGCGGCGAACGUCUGAUGCAAUAUGAUCGGAGUUUAACGGCGCCGUUGCCGUCUUAUCAAAGGCAAGUCAUGUUGUGGCUACGAGUUUGACAACUCAGGAACAUGGAUGAAGAUUCCUGAGUUUCUUCGUUUUAAGUUGUCAUUCUCAAUCGUAUUAUAUGAAUCUGUUCAAAGCUUGCAUUUCAUUGAUAUUUAGUAUACUCUCAUUUUAUA
Ipomoea nil (Japanese morning glory) is the source of this 452-nucleotide long non-coding RNA. RefSeq lists it as uncharacterized. Lineage: Eukaryota; Viridiplantae; Streptophyta; Magnoliopsida; Solanales; Convolvulaceae. The record is from RefSeq and is a predicted model, not a curated record. The transcript is spliced from 2 exons.